AGUAGAAACUGUGUGUGAGGCUCCUCAGGACACUUCAUAUUCACUGAUAAUAAAGAACGAGGCAUGUGUUUGGAAAAUAGUCAACAGACGGAGAGCUCUGGAUCGUUUGGAUUGAUCUUCAUUGCAGUGAUGGACAUCAGCUGCGGACAGGUGGUACGUCUAUGAUCCUCCAGCACAUGAUCAGAUGUCCCUCCUGGAUGCAGUGGAGGCUUCAGAAACUUUUCAGACUGAAGAGGCAAAUCUGGCGCGCUGUCUCCAUCCAUGCAGGAGACGAUAUAAUGUGCGAUGUGAACAAGAACAUGAGGCAAGUCCUGAAGAUCAUACUGCUUACUGUAGAGCAGUUCUUUUUUAUUUUCCUUUUGAUUUGCCUAAUUGUGUGGUGUAUUUAUGGGACAAAACUGAUGAACUAAAAGUGGUUCUUUGGCUGUAAUCAUACCACCUAUAUCUGUGCCAAUAUCUGUGCUAGCACCUCAACCACCCAAAGAACUGUGCAGAUUCUAAAUGGUUCCCCUUUUAGGAGUUAAAACACUAAGGAACCCUUUUUUAAGAGAGAAAGAAAGUGUGUGUGUGUAUAAAAAGUUAAUUUGCAAAAACAAAUAACCACCAUUUUCAGAAAUGUUUGUAACAGAGGUUGAAAAUUACAACAAAAAAAAAAUCUCCAGAAAUGUUAUGCAAUUGUACAUUUCAACACAAAAAGUAAACAAA
Long non-coding RNA from Danio aesculapii, 705 nucleotides. RefSeq lists it as uncharacterized. The transcript is spliced from 3 exons. NCBI's taxonomy places the organism in Eukaryota, Metazoa, Chordata, Actinopteri, Cypriniformes, Danionidae. The record is from RefSeq and is a predicted model, not a curated record.